Molecule: ribosomal RNA, 253 nt
Filed under: uncultured bacterium
Lineage: Bacteria
Description: partial 16S ribosomal RNA
Rfam family: Bacterial small subunit ribosomal RNA
Source: RNAcentral
UACGAAGGGGGCUAGCGUUGUUCGGAAUUACUGGGCGUAAAGCGCACGCAGGCGGAUUUAUAAGUCAGGGGUGAAAUCCCGGGGCUUAACCUCGGAAUUGCCUUUGAUACUGUCUAUCUUGAGUCCGGGAGAGGUGAGUGGAAUUCCUAGUGUAGAGGUGAAAUUCGUAGAUAUUAGGAAGAACACCAGUGGCGAAGGCGGCUCACUGGCCCGGUACUGACGGUCAUGUGCGAAAGCGUGGGGAGCAAACAGG